Molecule: non-coding RNA, 340 nt
Organism: Balearica regulorum gibbericeps (East African grey crowned-crane)
Lineage: Eukaryota; Metazoa; Chordata; Aves; Gruiformes; Gruidae
Source: RefSeq, a predicted model, not a curated record
AAGCUUUAAAAUACAAAAUGUACAGUUCCAGUUCAGAAGCAUUAGCUAUUCACAAGAAGCACUGCAAUAAGGCAGCAACAAGGUCUGGCCCUGAGAACAUGGAGAACAAACUGUCUCCAUUAGCUGAGGAGGUCUCAUCACUUGAGCUGGCAGAGUCUCCUUGAGUACCAGACCAGCUAUUUGUCACAUCACUACCACCUGAAGAUUUGCUUCCAUUUCCGGAUGGCAUGUCAACUUGAUUCCCAAAGUCUGAGAUUUCACGCUGUAACUGGAUCUGAAUACAAGGCAAAGCUUGCUCCCUGCAUCAACAAAAACAUGUACGUCAAACCAUCUAAUAUAU